AAUCCUUGAGUCUUAGGUACAAUUUAAGGUAGUUUUCAAUUUUUUUCUUUAAUUAGUUUAAAUCAUAUUGAGUCAAGUUAAUUCAAGUAAUUUUAGUUCAUUUGUAUGUUAAAAAUUUUUAUUUUUAUCUAUGACUAAUUUUGUUCAUAUGUCAUGAAGGUCCUCAAAAGAAAAGGGGUCAAGUGGAGGAAAAAAAUUGCAACUAUGGCUAAGGGCAUCUCCUCAACAUGUUGUGGUAUUUUGAGCAUCACUCGUGCUAUAGAAGUCAAAUCAACAUGAUUCUUGACCAAUGAAAAGAUAAGAUGCAAAGUUACAACUUUAUUGUUUACUAUUUUUCCCAGAUCAACCUUUAAAUGUGAGAAAAUCAUGUUACAAGAGAAAGGCUUGAAUAAGGUCAACACUAGAGUGCAGGGCGCCACAGAACUAGCCAACCAUGGAGAUGGCAUCAAGAGGCCCCUACUCCCUAUACAAUGUGCAUCAAGUAGGGCACCACAGCACCAAUGACCUAGCACCUUGACACCAGCACAUGGACUUUAAAUUUUGUAAUUUUUUAUUUUUUUAUAUUAGGCUGUUCAAUAGGGUAUAAAUAGUAUUUUUCUUUUAAAGGCUAAAAAGGUACAGAACAACUUUUUGGAGAAACGGAUACCUUUUACAAAAGAGGAAAGGUGAAGAAAUCAAGGAAGCUUGAGUUUCAAAAGCAGCUAAAACUUAUUUCUCUCACUAAAUUUUUCUUUCUCUCUCUUUGAUUGUAAAAAUGAUUUAUUUUCUUAAGCUGUUGAUGUUUGCUAUAAAA
RNAcentral lists this long non-coding RNA (793 nucleotides) under Theobroma cacao (cacao). Its description in RNAcentral is "long non-coding RNA (TCAC_LNC003953)". The record is from RNAcentral. Lineage: Eukaryota; Viridiplantae; Streptophyta; Magnoliopsida; Malvales; Malvaceae.